AACACUGUUAACCUGCGGUACCUGCGGAAGGAUCAUUACGAGAGUGUCACCACUCCCAACCCAUUGUUUACCUACCCGUCCACCGUGCUUCGGCAGGCAGCCCUGUGGGACAGAGCCUCGCCCCCUUUCGCGGGGGGUGCCUGCCGCUUGCCAACCAAAACUCUAGCUGUUUUAGUACCAUCUGAGUCUUCCACAAAUGAACAAAACUUUCAGCAACGGAUCUCAGAUCGGAAGAGCACA
This 240-nucleotide unclassified non-coding RNA is filed under the name soil metagenome. RNAcentral's name for it is "partial contains 5.8S ribosomal RNA, internal transcribed spacer 2, and large subunit ribosomal RNA". The record is from RNAcentral.